RNAcentral lists this unclassified non-coding RNA (368 nucleotides) under uncultured bacterium. RNAcentral describes it as "contains 16S-23S intergenic spacer region". The record is from RNAcentral.
UCCCGGUUGCCCGGGCAGUCUCCUGCGAAAGUAUAACGCAGAACAGGGGUUGCGCUCGUUACCCCACUUAAGGGAACAGCUCACGCCACGAGCUGACGACAACCAUGCAGCACCUACUCAGCACCCUCGAAGGCGGCCUCCGUUUCUGGAGGCUUGCAGCUGAAUUUCAAGCCCAGGUAAGGUUCCUCGCUUACCGUCGAAUUAAACCACAUGCUCCACCGCUUGUGCGGGUCCCCGUCUAUUCCUUUGAGUUUUAGUCUUGCGACCGUACUCCCCAGGCGGAGUGCUUAACGCGUUAGCUUGGUUAACCGACACCGGGAGGGUCGAUACUCCCGAUAUCUAGCACUCAUCGUUUAGGGCGUGGACUA